This 510-nucleotide ribosomal RNA is filed under the name uncultured bacterium. RNAcentral describes it as "bacterial SSU rRNA". It matches the Rfam family "Bacterial small subunit ribosomal RNA", at positions 36 to 524 of the family's 1533-position model. The record is from RNAcentral.
UCUAACCUGGCGGCUGCCUAACCAUGCAAGUCCCUCGGAGAGUGGGGCAACUCACUCUCAGUGGCAAACGGGUGAGUAACGCGUGAAUAACCUGCCUUUGAGAAGGGGAUAACUGUCCGAAAGGAUAGCUAAUACCCUAUAUUGCCUUUUGUCACUAAGGCAAAAGGUGAAAGCGAGGCUGUCAAAGGCUUCGGCUCAAAGAGGGGUUCGCGUCCUAUCAGGUAGCUGGUGGGGUAAUGGCCUACCAAGCCAAUGACGGGUAGCUGGUCUUAGAGGAUAAUCAGCCACAGUGGGACUGAAGACACGGCCCGCACCCCUACGGGGGGCAGCAGUGGGGAAUCGUGGGCAAUGGGCGCAAGCCUGACCCCGCAAUGCCGCGUGAGGGAAGAAGCCCUUCGGGGUGUAAACCUCUGUCAGAUGGGAAGAUAGGACUAGGGGCUAAUACCUCCUGGUCUUGACGGUACCAUCAGAGGAAGGGACGGCUAACUACGUGCCAGCAGCCGCGGUAAU